UCUCCGGUGGUGAACCAGCGGAGGGAUCAUUACCGAGUUUACAACUCCCAAACCCCUGUGAACAUACCUGUUUUGUUGCUUCGGCGGUGCCCUCGCUCUCGCGGCGAGGCCCGCCAGAGGACCCAAAUAAACUCUUUGACUUUGAUCUAGGAUUAUACUUCUGAGUGAUACAAAAAAUAAAAUCAAAACUUUCAACAACGGAUCUCUUGGUUCUG
RNAcentral lists this unclassified non-coding RNA (215 nucleotides) under plant metagenome. Its description in RNAcentral is "partial contains small subunit ribosomal RNA, internal transcribed spacer 1, and 5.8S ribosomal RNA". The record is from RNAcentral.